GAUGAACGCUGGCGGUAUGCUUAACACAUGCAAGUCGAACGGACUCUUCGGAGUUAGUGGCGGACGGGUGAGUAACGCGUGCGAGUCUGGCUUUGGGUUCGGGACAACCACUGGAAACGGUGGCUAAUACCGGAUGUGCCGAGAGGUAAAAGAGAAAUUGCCUGAAGAUGAGCUCGCGUCUGAUUAGCUAGUUGGUGAGGUAAAGGCUCACCAAGGCAGCGAUCAGUAGCUGGUCUGAGAGGAUGACCAGCCACACUGGGACUGAGACACGGCCCAGACUCCUACGGGAGGCAGCAGUGGGGAAUUUUCCGCAAUGGGCGAAAGCCUGACGGAGCAAUACCGCGUGAGGGAAGAAGGCUCUUGGGUUGUAAACCUCUUUUCUUAGGGAAGAACAAAAUGACGGUACCUAAGGAAUCAGCAUCGGCUAACUCCGUG
RNAcentral lists this ribosomal RNA (435 nucleotides) under uncultured bacterium. RNAcentral's name for it is "partial 16S ribosomal RNA". It matches the Rfam family "Bacterial small subunit ribosomal RNA", at positions 28 to 507 of the family's 1533-position model. The record is from RNAcentral.